GUAAUCAGACACUGCUUGGUUUCAAAAGCAGAUGCAGAUGAGACUAGCAAUAUAAAUAUGCAAAUCACAAUGGUCCCUUGUCAGCACCACUGUUCCUACCUCUAAUGGCCCUCGUAGAAAGUCUGUUUGCUCAGCUCCUACUUCCAGUGCUACAUCGACAGAAGCAAAGGGGCGGCUGGCCAUCUGCUGUCGCUCCCGCAUAAGUUGCUCUCUCCGUCG
RNAcentral lists this long non-coding RNA (219 nucleotides) under Gallus gallus (chicken). The record is from RNAcentral. Lineage: Eukaryota; Metazoa; Chordata; Aves; Galliformes; Phasianidae.